Non-coding RNA from Armillaria borealis, 140 nucleotides. NCBI's taxonomy places the organism in Eukaryota, Fungi, Basidiomycota, Agaricomycetes, Agaricales, Physalacriaceae. The record is from the annotation of a GenBank genome assembly.
GGCAAGAUGGCCGAGCGGUUAAGGCGCCAGAUUAAGGAAGCCCGAUUUUACGACGAACAUCGGGAUUCGGGACCAAGGCCGUUGUUGUCUUCUCAUAAAUCUGGUCCGAAAGGGCGCGGGUUCGAGUCCCGCUCUUGUCA